UACGUAGGGUGCGAGCGUUAAUCGGAAUUACUGGGCGUAAAGCGUGCGCAGGCGGUUAUGUAAGACAGGUGUGAAAUCCCCGGGCUUAACCUGGGAACUGCAUUUGUGACUGCAUCGCUGGAGUGCGGCAGAGGGGGAUGGAAUUCCGCGUGUAGCAGUGAAAUGCGUAGAUAUGCGGAGGAACACCGAUGGCGAAGGCAAUCCCCUGGGCCUGCACUGACGCUCAUGCACGAAAGCGUGGGGAGCAAACAGG
This 253-nucleotide ribosomal RNA is filed under the name uncultured bacterium. Its description in RNAcentral is "partial 16S ribosomal RNA". It matches the Rfam family "Bacterial small subunit ribosomal RNA", at positions 524 to 776 of the family's 1533-position model. The record is from RNAcentral.